GAUGAACGCUAGCGGCAGGCUUAACACAUGCAAGUCGAGGGGCAGCAUAAUGUAUAGCAAUAUCUAUGGUGGCGACCGGCGCACGGGUUCGUAACGCGUAUGCAACCUACCUUUAACAGGGUGAUAACACUGAGAAAUUGUUACUAAUACCCCAUAAUAUCAUAGAAGGCAUCUUUUAUGGUUGAAAAUUCCGAUGGUUAGUGAUGGGCAUGCGCUGUAUUAGCUCGUUGGUGGGUAACGGCUCACCAAGGCGACGAUACAUAGGUGGACUGAGAGGUUAACCGCCCAGAAAGAUAAUGAGGCAAGAACCAGAAUCAUACGGGCGGGAGCAGUAAGGAAUACGAAGCAAUGGACGCAAGUCUGAACCAGCCAUGCCGCGUGCAGGAUGACGGCUCUAUGAGUUGUAAACUGCUUUUGUACGAGGGUAAACGCAGAUACGUGUCUCUGUCUGAAAGUAUCGUACGAAUAAGGAGCGGCUAACUCCGUG
This 487-nucleotide ribosomal RNA is filed under the name uncultured bacterium. Its description in RNAcentral is "partial 16S ribosomal RNA". It matches the Rfam family "Bacterial small subunit ribosomal RNA", at positions 28 to 507 of the family's 1533-position model. The record is from RNAcentral.